ACGAGAAAGAAUAAUAAUAGUUAAAAUCUUAGGGCUUAGUUUGAGUUAAACUUUUUGUCUCAUUCCUCAGAUAGUCUUUCUACAUGAAAUCAUUUCCUCUGUUUUAUGGGUAAAGAUACUGGUGUAGAGAGUCUAAACACAUUGCCCAUACUAUAAAAUUUCCAUAGUAUAUAAAUAGGUCUAGAAGAAGUACAUUGGAAAAAUUCAUAAAGAACUUUGGAGUUCCCGUAACAGAAUAAAGAUUUGGGACAAAGAGAAAGGCUUCAUUUGGAGAUGCUGUAUAUCAUGUUCUGUUUAGGGAAGUAUUGAGCCAUGUGACAUGAAAUCACAGGAUUCAUGGAAUGAAGUCACCUGUAUGGGUCCAGAGAUCAAUCUGAAGUGGAACAUUGAAGCCAGAGGAUAGCAGUUGAAUGAAUGCCACAUGGGGGAGUUUAGAUCUUACUGUUGCCAGUUAGUUUAGAUCUUAUUGUUGAUGGAACGAUGAUAGCACUUUAAAGGGAGAACUAAGUAGAUGAGAUCUCUGUUUAAGAUAAGCAGUUUUAACAUGUAGGGCCAGAUUGAGAUUAGUGGUAGGAAAACCCAUUAGAUAGGUGUUGAGAAACUUCAGAUGAAAGAAAAUGGUAUUGCAGGUUAAAAAUUAGUAGAAUGCGAAGAUUUUUAAGGCAGAAUGAGUAGAGCUUAAUUAGUAACCAUGACAAGUUUAAGGUGAGUUAUUAGGUAGAGAUGGGGGAACAUAAGGAAAAAUAUGGUGGGAGACUGAAAUGACAAAUGAUUUUUAAUUUUGAGACAGUAAUGAUGAGUUUAGUGUAUUUGUGGGAUGUCUAGUAAACAAUUGAAAGUAUAGGACAUGUACUUUUCCGAAAUAAUUUUUACUAUAUUUAUGGGUAUUUUUAGUUUCUGUACUUGCCAAAGAAGCAGCUCCUUAAUAUUUUUAUAUAUUUAAACUUUUUCUCUAUGUUUUUUAGUCAGUUAAAUGAAAAGCCCUUACCUGAAGGCUGGGAAAUGAGAUUCACAGUGGAUGGAAUUCCUUAUUUUGUGGAUCACAAUAGAAGAACAACCACCUAUAUAGAUCCCCGUACAGGAAAAUCUGCCCUGACGCGGGAUGGAAUGGCCUGACUGUGACUGCCCGGUGUCUGCCGCAAGGCAAGCUGUCCGCAAUGUCAGCUGUGGCUCGGGAAGUGCUUGGCUUCUGCCUUGGGACGCACGGAUGACAGAAAGUCAGGAAGGAAGAGGAAAGAAGGCCGGGACAAGGGCCACUUCUGUCCUCCUCACCCAGAGCCCGACACCACUCUCACGCCGGGGGCCACCCUUCCUCAGGCCGGGCUGGGUCGUCUUUCCUGACAGCAGCACUGGGCCCUGCAGCACUGUCUAAGGACAAAUACUCAUCCUCUGAAGGCGAAGACAGUGCGGAGGAGCCCAGGGGAUGAGGCAGAGGUGAGGUGGGGAGAGCCUGGCUCCAGGACACCCAAGGCAACACUGGCACUGGAUCCCGGCGGGCAGAAGGGACAAGGUCCGGGGAGGCUGGGGCCAGGGGGCUACAUCCUCUUCCUUUUCAGUCUUCUGGAGCAUGAAAUUACAGGAUUUACAGGGAAAACGACAGGGCCUUGCAGUCUCACUGUGGGAAGACGGCGACAGGAACUCUGCGGCCCCAGCUCUCCGCCGUCCGCAUGCAGUACCUGCCAGGGGCCUCCCCCGACACCCACAGUAACUUCUCUUCCCAGUGCACACUUGUGUGCAGGGACCUGCCAGGUACCAUGAUGCAGGAACAGCAGGACUGUGGGGACAGAGGGUAGUACUCGUGUCCUCUCUGCUGGGGAGGUCCCAGUGGGCUCCCUAGAGGGGCAGUGGCAGGAGGGGCCUGGAAGGUCAUCUCGGCCAUCUGCCCACUGCCCAGCCCUGACCUAGAGCCACCUGAAGCUUGCGCUGUGCUGUGUGAGCAGUGGGACUCUGGGCCAAUCCUGGGAUCCAGAGGGACCCCAGCCUGGCGCAGUGCAGGAGCCUGGGUCCCCGUGGCCUAGGGUGCCUCCUCCGGCUUCCUGUAGCCCUGUCUGAGCAGAUCCAUCAUGCUAAUGCACCAAGUGUCAGUGUCUAUGCCGCCUGCCAGCGCUGGGGUUUGAUAAAUCACAGGACUGUCCGCCACCAGCGUGUUGGAGAGCAGGCCUUACCCUCUCACUGCACAGCGAGCCCUCACUCACCACUGGCACGCAAGCCCAAUGCAGCUCCUCGCAAAAACCACUUCUGUCCAGCUGAGCACUGGAGCAGGAGCAAACAUUUGUUCUGUGCUUUUUGGUUCCUUUCUUUCUUUCCUCCCUCCCUCCCUCUCCCCUCUUUUUUUGAGACAGA
Long non-coding RNA from Fukomys damarensis (Damara mole-rat), 2343 nucleotides. RefSeq lists it as uncharacterized. The record is from RefSeq and is a predicted model, not a curated record. NCBI's taxonomy places the organism in Eukaryota, Metazoa, Chordata, Mammalia, Rodentia, Bathyergidae. The transcript has 3 exons.